This is a non-coding RNA of Pseudoalteromonas luteoviolacea B = ATCC 29581, 115 nucleotides long. Lineage: Bacteria; Pseudomonadati; Pseudomonadota; Gammaproteobacteria; Alteromonadales; Pseudoalteromonadaceae. The record is from Rfam.
CUUGGUGACAAUAGUGUUGUGGACCCACCUGACCCCAUGCCGAACUCAGAAGUGAAACGCAACAGCGCCGAUGAUAGUGUGGCAGCUGCCAUGUGAAAGUAGGACAUCGCCAGGC